AAGGAUCAUUAUCGAGUUAGGGUUCCUUCACGGGCCCGAUCUCCAACCCGGUGUCUAAACUUACCACUGUUGCUUCGGCGGGCCCGCCUGUGAAAGGGCCGCCGGGGGUGCUCGUCACCCCUGGCCCGCGCCCGUCGAUAGCCCACAACAAACUCUUAUGAACCGUGUCAUGUCUGAAUAAACCAAAAAAUUAAGCACAAAACUUUCAACAACGGAUCUCUUGGUUCUGGCAUCGAUGAAGAACGCAGCGAAAUGCGAUAAGUAAUGCGAAUUGCAGAAUUCCGUGAGUCAUCGAAUCUUUGAACGCACAUUGCGCCCUCUGGUAUUCCGGAGGGCAUGCCUGUUCGAGCGUCAUUAUCAACCCUCAAGCCCCGGCUUGGUGUUGGAGGCCCGGCGAGGUUCUGAACCUGGCCGCUCCGAAAGAUAACGACGGCGUCCGGCGGACCCCUGGUACAAUGAGCUUUCCAAGCACGUAUCCGGUUGCGGUCUCCGGGGGCUGGUCUUAACCAAAUUUUUACAAGGUUGACCUCGGAUCAGGUAGGGAUACCCGCUGAACUUAA
This 560-nucleotide ribosomal RNA is filed under the name uncultured fungus. Its description in RNAcentral is "eukaryotic LSU rRNA". The stretch from base 201 to 354 matches the Rfam family "5.8S ribosomal RNA". The record is from RNAcentral. Lineage: Eukaryota; Fungi.